CGGGGUGAGUAAUGUAUGGGGAUCUGCCUGAUGGCGGGGGGUAACUACUGAAACGGUAGCUAAUACCGCAUAAUGUCUGCGGACCAAAGCGGGGGACCGUCCGGGCCUCGCGCCAUCAGAUGAACCCAUAUGGGAUUAGCUAGUAGGUAAGGUAACGGCUUACCUAGGCGACGAUCCCUAGCUGGUCUGAGAGGAUGAUCAGCCACACUGGGACUGAGACACGGCCCAG
RNAcentral lists this ribosomal RNA (229 nucleotides) under uncultured bacterium. Its description in RNAcentral is "partial 16S ribosomal RNA". It matches the Rfam family "Bacterial small subunit ribosomal RNA", at positions 104 to 334 of the family's 1533-position model. The record is from RNAcentral.